AGUGAACGCUGGCGGUAGGCCUAACACAUGCAAGUCGAACGGCAGCACAGUAAGAGCUUGCUCUUACGGGUGGCGAGUGGCGGACGGGUGAGGAAUACAUCGGAAUCUACUUUUUCGUGGGGGAUAACGUAGGGAAACUUACGCUAAUACCGCAUACGACCUACGGGUGAAAGCAGGGGAUCUUCGGACCUUGCGCGAUUGAAUGAGCCGAUGUCGGAUUAGCUAGUUGGCGGGGUAAAGGCCCACCCAGGCGACGAUCCGUAGCUGGUCUGAGAGGAUGAACAGCCACACUGGAACUGAGACACGGUCCAGACUCCUACGGGAGGCAGCAGUGGGGAAUAUUGGACAAUGGGCGCAAGCCUGAUCCAGCCAUACCGCGUGGGUGAAGAAGGCCUUCGGGUUGUAAAGCCCUUUUGUUGGGAAAGAAAAGCAGCAGGUUAAUACCCCGCUGUUCUGACGGUACCCAAAGAAUAAGCACCGGCUAACUUCGUG
Molecule: ribosomal RNA, 492 nt
Filed under: uncultured bacterium
Lineage: Bacteria
Description: partial 16S ribosomal RNA
Rfam family: Bacterial small subunit ribosomal RNA
Source: RNAcentral